UGCGUAGAGAUCUGGCCAGGAAUACCGGUGGCGAAGGCGGCCCCCUGGACAAAGACUGACGCUCAGGUGCGAAAGCGGACUGGGGAGCAAACAGGAUUAGAUACCCUGGUAGUCCACGCCGUAAACGAUGUCUACUUGGAGGUUGUGCCCUUGAGGCACGUGGCUUGCCCGGAGCGUAACGGCCGUUAAGACUAGACCGCCUGGGGAGUACGGCCGCAAGGUUAAAACUGGCAAACUGAAUUGACGGGGGCCCGCACUAAGCGGUGGCAACAAAGCAUGUGGUUUAAUCUCGAUGCAACGCGAAGUAACCUUACCUGGUCUUGACAUCCACAGAAGAAUCCAGAGAUGGAUUUGUGCCUGUCGGGAACUGUGAGACAGGUGCAAAUGCAUGGCUGUCGUCAGCUCGUGUUGUGAAGACCAUGUUGGGUUAAGUCCCGUUGCAACGAGCGCAACCCUUAUCCUUUGUUGCCAGCGAUUAGGUCGGGAACCGUCAAAGGAGACUGCCAGUGAUAAACUGGAGGAAGGACUGGGGAUGACGUCAAGUCAUCAUGGCCCUUACGACCAGGGCUACACACGUGCUACAAUGGCGCAACCUACAAAGAGACAGCGUUUACCUCGCGGAGAGCAAGCGGACCUCAUAAAUGUUUGCGUCGUAGUCUUUCGGAUUGGAGUCUGCAACUCGACUCCAUGAAGUCGGAAUCGCUACCGGUAAUCGUGGAUCAGAAUGCCACGGUGAAUACCGUUCCACCGGGCCUUGUACACACCGCCUACAGUCACACCAUGGGAGUGUCGGUUGCAG
Molecule: ribosomal RNA, 799 nt
Filed under: Salmonella enterica subsp. enterica serovar Typhimurium
Lineage: Bacteria; Pseudomonadati; Pseudomonadota; Gammaproteobacteria; Enterobacterales; Enterobacteriaceae
Description: bacterial SSU rRNA
Rfam family: Bacterial small subunit ribosomal RNA
Source: RNAcentral